This is a long non-coding RNA of Oreochromis niloticus (Nile tilapia), 4088 nucleotides long. RefSeq lists it as uncharacterized. The record is from RefSeq and is a predicted model, not a curated record. NCBI's taxonomy places the organism in Eukaryota, Metazoa, Chordata, Actinopteri, Cichliformes, Cichlidae. The transcript is spliced from 2 exons.
UUAGAAAUGCACCAAAAUUGUGUUCUGAUGUGCACUAACUGGUGGAGGUUCUGAAUGAUAAUAAAGUGGCUACUCUAUUCUAUUGUAAAGUAAAUAAUAGCUUGAGGUGUUGUAAUGCUCCGGUCAAAGUCCAGACCUCAACCUGUAUGAAAUGCUGUGGCGGGACUUUACGAAAGUUGCAACAAACCUCAGUGAACUGAAGUAAUGUUGUAAAGAAUAGUGGGUCAUAAAGAAAAUGAUUACUUUGAAUUUUUGUUAAUCAUUGUGGUUCUGCAUAAAUCAUGGGGUAAUCUACUGUAGUUUUCACAGGACUGCGGAGAGUCCUUUUUUUUUCACAUAAUAUUUCAUUUUAAAUUUCUUCAGUACUACUUGGUAUAUAGUGACACUUAUAGGACUGAAAUUUAUAAAUACAAUUUUUUAAAUUCAUCAUUCAGUCUGAAUGAUGAAUUUAAAACCGUUCAAGGUACACUGAAAAAAAUGCAAUAGGGUGGUUGUUGAAUUUGCAUAAAAUUACUUCAUAUAUCCAGCAUGACUAAUUUAAAUUUCACGUCUAAACAUAUCUUUGUCUUUUAAUUUUCACAUAUUCUUUAAGAAUAUUCAUUCUUUUAGAACAAAUCAUGUUGAAAAGAAACAAGUUAGUAGUGUUAUUUGCUCAAGCUCCGCCCCCUGGAAAGGAAAAAUCGGCUGCACUGUCCGCCAUUUUUGUCUCUCGCUUUGGAAAAUCUACUACCAUCUGGAGUUUUACACUUGAAGGUAAAUAAGAUUUUAAAGCUAACAGACCAGUGAGAAAGAGUGUAGACCCUUUAUAUAUGUGGACUUUUACUGGGGUGUUGUUAUUUUACAGGUAUGUGGGCUGUUUAUCGAAAACCAGGAAAGGCCAAUGUUAGGCUCCAGUUAGCUAAUGGUAACCGAAAUUAUGCAUAAGCAAAUUAGUAAUUAACAUAUAUAAUGUGAGUUAAUAUUGUUUGUAUAUUCUUUCAGUCUAAAUUAACAGACUAUUACAAACUUGCAUCGGUGUCUGUAGUAAGUGGUGGUACCUGCAGUGUCUUAACCAUUAAACAAGCUAAUGUAGGGCCGGGAUAUGACUAGUUUGUUGAAACAUGUCUGCUGCUAAUGUGACUGCGCACACAUGGUAACAUUACCAGCACAUAGCCACAGCCGCUAUAAACAUGCUAAAAGGUCAAUCUAGCUUCUGUAAUCAGCAGCUGGAAGACUCAACACAGACCCAAGAUUCAGUGUAACGGUUAUCUAAAUGUUGUGUGUCCUGUUUGUAAGCGCAGAAAAAGAAAUUAAAUAAAAUGACGACCUUGAGCUUCAAGCUAAUGUAAGCGUAAUGCUAUAGCAUAAAGCUAAUGCAAUGAUGAGGUUGUUAAAUUAGUAAAAAUACAGUAAAUAUAUCCAACAUGAAUCAUUUAUAUUUUUGGUCUAAACAUAAUUAAGUCUCAUGCCUUUCACUUGUUUUAGAAGGAUGUUCAGUCUUUUAAAACCAGUCAUAUCAAAAUAACAGAAAAUAGUUAUGUUUUCUGUUGAAACUCCACCCCCCAGGGUGUGUUCUGCGAGGGAAAAUUCACUGUGGCGUCCGCCAUUUUUUGUCUUCGCUUUGUUUACUUUUGGUGCUGAGCUAUACUUUGUCGAGGUAAACUGAAAACUACAUGUUUGAGAGGAAACGAAGAGAACAUCCAUUAGAUGGGGAAGUUUUUCUCAUGAAUUGCCGUUGAGCAACAUAAUGGAAAAAACAAGUCAUUCCUUAAGUUAACUAACGAUAAUGCUAGCUUAAGCUGCGGGACAAUAUUAUGUGCAUUAGCUUUUUUGCCCUAAGUAAACCGACUUCACUAAAGUCGGUUUACUUAGGGCAUGACACCUAUGCAGUACUCAUUAGGAGAGGAAGUGCAUGACGUGGGGCUUUAUUUCAUGUUCUGGGGCAGUGAAUGUAAUGUACUGAUAACAUGUUAAAGACACAAAAAAACCCAACAAUUUAUUUUAACUGAUUUAUAGAGAGACUGAGAGGAGGGCUUAAAGAGAUAAGAAAAAAAUGGCAAUAUAAAUAUAUUAAAUUUAUUUUUUCUGUAUCGAUAUAUGGUGCUUAUCCCUGCUGAAGGGCAGAUUGGUGUUGCUUCAGAACAAUUCUCUAGCGCUGUUACGUAGAGGUGUUACAGUUAAGGUUUUAAUAACAUUAUUUUAUUUACUAGUGAAGAUUUGCAUAUGUUAUCUCACAUUCUGUACGGUAAAUUUUCUGGAAAGGUCAAAUUAACUAAUUUAACUAAGUAUUAAUGAAAGACCUUGAUGUGUAUAUGACAAUAAUAGAUGUAGUUUCUGGGUCAUUUUCAGAACUGCAAAAUGUCCAGAAGGAGGCAACUGCUGUGGUUGCAAACAGGCUUUGGGUGGUAUGGAAGUAAGGGCAACUAUGGAACUGCUCAGCAACAUGGGACCCAUAGCUAAUAAAUUGUAAUUUGACAAAAAUAACAACUUUGUGUGGAUGUAACCUUGUGAGAUCUGAGAUUUUGACAGCAUUUUUAUGUGACAACUUCUCUUUUUAGAUAAAUGCAGAGUUUAAGUGCAUUACCACCAUGCCACUGCAGUCCAGAUUACUCUCGCAGAUAGAUGUGCUAUCUGACAAACUAAUAAAGGUCUUCAAAAGGCGAGGAGGACAAAUAAGAAGAAGACUUCAGAACAUUCUGGAGCCCACGGCCCAGGCCACAGAUGAAGCCAUUAUCCAACGAUCUAAUAAGGAAACAACCAUGGGAAUUUACAUCAUAAAGUCAAAAGAUUCCAAUGGCAGCCCUGAGGACAUUGGGAUAGUCCUUGAAGGCCAGAGAGUCUGGCAGGAUUUGGAUAACUAUACCCUAGCAGCUGCAGUGCUGUUUGGACUAAUGUACACUUUGAACCUCACCUACCCACUGGAAAAGUAUACCUUCGAGGUAUUAUAGAAACUGGUUAUGGAGCUCAAAAGGAACAGCCUUUCAAAGAAGGCCCAGGUUUUCAGGACCAGACUGUACGAUUGAACAGUUUUCCAGUUAUGAUGUGGGAACAACAUGUUUACCUCUUCGAAUAUGUACCAUCCUUUCUUUUAAGCCAGCACUGGUAAAGUUGCAGUACAUAGUGAAACUUAUUUUUCUGGCACUUUUCAACUUGGGGCCUUUACUACUGCAGUGUUCAGUGUUCACUUUUCAAGCCAUGGCUCUUUUGAAAAAAAAAUUCAAACUUUGAAUGUCCAUUUUUCUCAAUGGAAAUGGUGCCUUGCACCAAUUUCACCAGUUUGCAAUUUCUUUCCCAAGGUGCACCACUACAAACAGAUUGCAUGGUCUAGUAUUAGUGAUUGUGAUGUUUAGUGAUAGAAGCAAGCCAAUACUAAUCAGUUUAGGUCUCUUGGUUUUGUGCCUGUGGGUUAUAAUGUUAUUUUAAGUCUCUUCUUUGUGUCAUUUUAAUAAUUACACCCCUGUUGCCAUAUUACCUUAUGGCUCUUACAUUUAAAAAACUAUUUUUUACAUAAGCGUGAUGUCAUAAGGCCCCACAAUGUUGAAUCCAGGUUACAGCAGAUAACUUUGAGGAAUGUUGUGGAAUGUUUUUCAAGAGAUGCAUUGUACAAAUAUGACUCAUGUAUAUUUUGGAAGCCUGAAUUGAAAGUCCAUUGUUACAACUGUGUAGUAUUUUCAAAAAUACAGGUCAUUGUUCAAAAAUGUUUUGCUUAUUUCUUUGAUUGAAGAGAAAGUGUACAGUACAUACAGUAAGAUCAGCCUUAAUUUAGUUUUAUUUAUUGAACACUCAAUUAUAUAUUAGAUUAUAUAUUAUAUAUUAGAAAUUUGUUAUAAAAUAAAAUAAGCUUACCAUAAAAUAAUCUUGUCAAUAUAACACAUAGUAGUUCAAUACAAUUAACACAAAAAGUUCAUGUCUGAUAAACAAGUGGUUUCUAUAAAUAUUUGACCGGAAUGAAAAACGUAACAACAACAUAAAAAAGUCAUGUUCAUGUUACCAGAAAAAUGUGUGCAGGUAUAACAUAAAAAAACUAAGGUUAACCAAACAUAACUUAAUUUCGUGCAACCGAUUACAAUAAUUUUUUUAUGUUUAUCCCACUGAUUAUUUUUUUCAGU